UCCAUUUUCCACUCCAUACUUUCCACGUAUAGUUGACUUGAUAGGAUUUUUAGGGUUUUUAUAAUGUACAUUGUCUCUGAUAGCACUCCUUUUGUCAGCUAGGAUCAUUACAAUUUACAACCUUGUCGUUAUGUCAACAUUAGAAAUUAGGUUAUAAAUUAUGACUCUCCCUUUUGUAUUUCACAAUCUCCAUUUUGGUUGGCUUGUCUCAUAUCUUCUUCUUCAUCAAUCCCACUGCUAUGGACAAACAAACAGUUGUAUUUCUCCUGCUGCUGCUUCUCCUGGCUUCAGAAAUUGAGAGUGGAAAUGCUGUAAUUUGUGAGAAAGCGAGCAAGAAGGCACCACCAGAUACAUGUCCAGAUGAUGAACAACAGUGCGCCAAAAUUUGCACUGGUAAGGAGAGAGCCAACGAUGGAAAGUGCCAUGCUUCUGGUUGCUUCUGUUAUUUCGACCGUUGUUGAUCUCAAUAUAAGUGGAGAAAACUAUAGUUAUAAGGAUGGAGAUAAUCCCAAAUAAUUCUCUAUGUAAAUGUUACUACUCUCUGAAUCCACAAACUUAUAAUGUUUCAGCUGUUUUACAUGGUUUUUAUGCGAGUGUUCUGUUUUAGCUAUUAAGAAAAGUUGUAAUGAUGGUAUCCCUAAAAGAUGAUCAGCAGUUGACUGAGAGGGCGGUCUGUUGGCUAACUAUACCAGAAAUCUUAUAGAUAUUGUCAAUGGAUUGAUAUUUCUUAUGAAAGCUUCAAAUUUCUCACAAAAUGUUUGAUCAGAAAUACACAGGUUUUAUGGUGUAUAAA
Long non-coding RNA from Cryptomeria japonica (Japanese cedar), 793 nucleotides. RefSeq lists it as uncharacterized. The transcript is spliced from 2 exons. NCBI's taxonomy places the organism in Eukaryota, Viridiplantae, Streptophyta, Pinopsida, Cupressales, Cupressaceae. The record is from RefSeq and is a predicted model, not a curated record.